AGCAUCCGCGGUAAUUCCAGCUCCAAUAGCGUAUAUUAAAGUUGUUGCAGUUAAAAGCUCGUAGUUGAAUUUCGGGAUUGGCGCAUCGGUCGUGCCUCACGGGGUAUGGACUGGUGCAGUCAAUUUCUCACCUUCUGGAGAACCGCGAUGUCCUUAAUUGGAUGCCGCGGGGAACCAGGACCUUUACUUUGAAAAAUUAGAGUGUUUAAAGCAGGCAUUUUUGCUUGAAUACAUUAGCAUGGAAUAAUAAAAUAGGACGGCAUGGUUCUAUUUUGUUGGUUUCUAGGACCACCGUAAUGAUUAAUAGGGAUAGUUGGGGGCAUUAGUAUUCAAUUGUCAGAGGUGAAAUUCUUGGAUUUAUUGAAGACUAACUACUGCGAAAGCAUUUGCCAAGGAUGUUUUCAUUAAUCAAGAACGAAAGUUAGGGAUCGAAAGACGAUCAGAUACCGUCGUAGUCUUAACCAUAAACUAUGACCGACUAGGAUCAGACGAUGUUAAUUUUUAAUGUACUUCGUUUGGC
RNAcentral lists this unclassified non-coding RNA (520 nucleotides) under uncultured Entrophospora. Its description in RNAcentral is "SSU rRNA". It matches the Rfam family "Eukaryotic small subunit ribosomal RNA", at positions 569 to 1084 of the family's 1831-position model. The record is from RNAcentral. Lineage: Eukaryota; Fungi; Glomeromycota; Glomeromycetes; Entrophosporales; Entrophosporaceae.